This 425-nucleotide ribosomal RNA is filed under the name uncultured bacterium. Its description in RNAcentral is "bacterial SSU rRNA". It matches the Rfam family "Bacterial small subunit ribosomal RNA", at positions 356 to 773 of the family's 1533-position model. The record is from RNAcentral.
GGGGAAUAUUGGACAAUGGGCGCAAGCCUGAUCCAGCAAUGCCGCGUGUGUGAAGAAGGCCUUCGGGUUGUAAAGCACUUUUAUCAGGAACGAAAAGCGUUGGAUUAAUACUCUGACGUGCUGACGGUACCUGAGGAAUAAGCACCGGCUAACUUCGUGCCAGCAGCUGCGGUAAUACGAAGGGUGCAAGCGUUAAUCGGAAUUACUGGGCGUAAAGCGUGCGUAGAUGGUUCGCUAAGUCGGAUGUGAAAGCCCCGGGCUCAACCUGGGAACUGCAUCCGAUACUGGCGGACUAGAGUGUGAUAGAGGAUGGCGGAAUUCCCGGUGUAGCGGUGAAAUGCGUAGAGAUCGGGAGGAACAUCCGGGGCGAAGGCGGCCAUCUGGAUCAACACUGACGUUGAGGCACGAAAGCGUGGGGAGCAAAC